GGGGACCUAUAACACAUUCAAAACUGAAGACCUUCGUGGAACACUAUCGAUUUAUUUCCUCCAAAGGCUUCAGCAGAAGGGACAGCUACUCAGAGUACAACUUUUUUUCCAGCAAAAGAAGGCAUUCUGAAAAGUCUAGUGGAGCCAUAAGACAAUUAUAUAGCAGCUUCCCCAGGUAAGAAACAAAUCAGAGUAAUGCUACAUCACCACGUGAAAUACACAAAUUAGAUGGAGAUGCAUUAACUAGUGUCAUUCAUCAGUCUACAGUGAUACAAUUUAUUACAUGAUAAUAAUGGCCAGAGCUGUAUAAGUAGUAAAGGUAAAAUUACAUCAUAACUUGCAUUAGCAGUAUGAGAUUAUAUCCUGAUUAAUGCACAAUUAACUUGUCAUGUGUACAAUGCAUGUGUUUGGAGGUGGACAGAUGGGUUACACUAUGUCUACAUAUGUAGCAUUUAUCACUUUUUCCUAACCCAAAAUUGGAUAUAGGGCUACAUCUACUAAAACACUUAGCCAACCCACCGGCUUAGUGUAGAGCCACCUAGAGUCUGCAUCAGUGAGAAUCCCUUGGAGAUGAGAACAUCUUUAAAACGUGCAAGAAUCCUCUUCCCCUCUACAGACUGGCAACCUCAUCCAUAGCUCCACAGAGAUACACGUAUCUCUGAGCUGAAAGCAACAACCUUAAAUGCGCUUCUGAUGGCAGGCACAGUCACCUGAACUGAGUUCAGAGUUCAUACCACAGCUACAUAUCCCAAGGGAAAGCCCCCAAGAGCACUAAAUGACCACAGAUGAGGAAUUUUUAACUCCUUUUUUUAUUCAGAUUUAUCAGGGAAAGAAUAAUUAAGCUAGAGGGAGAGUUAUUUGGGAAGCAUUUUUACUUUUAAUUGCAUUUAUGUGUCAGGGUCCCCCAGCU
RNAcentral lists this long non-coding RNA (910 nucleotides) under Cairina moschata (Muscovy duck). RNAcentral's name for it is "domestica (muscovy Duck (domestic type)) lncRNA (ENSCMMG00000007053.1)". The record is from RNAcentral. Lineage: Eukaryota; Metazoa; Chordata; Aves; Anseriformes; Anatidae.